RNAcentral lists this ribosomal RNA (512 nucleotides) under Clostridium butyricum. Its description in RNAcentral is "bacterial SSU rRNA". It matches the Rfam family "Bacterial small subunit ribosomal RNA", at positions 38 to 568 of the family's 1533-position model. The record is from RNAcentral. Lineage: Bacteria; Bacillati; Bacillota; Clostridia; Eubacteriales; Clostridiaceae.
UGCGGCUGCUUAACACAUGCAAGUCGAGCGAUGAAGCUUCUUCGGNAGUGGAUUANCGGCGGACGGGUGAGUAACACGUGGGUAACCUGCCUCAUAGAGGGGAAUAGCCUUUCGAAAGGAAGAUUAAUACCGCAUAAGAUUGUANUACCGCAUGGUACAGCAAUUAAAGGAGUAAUCCGCUAUGAGAUGGACCCGCGUCGCAUUAGCUAGUUGGUGAGGUAACGGCUCACCAACGCGACGAUGCGUAGCCGACCUGAGAGGGUGAUCGGNCACAUUGGGACUGAGACACGGCCCAGACUCCUACGGGAGGCAGCAGUGGGGAAUAUUGCACAAUGGGGGAAACCCUGAUGCAGCAACGCCGCGUGAGUGAUGACGGCCUUCGGGUUGUAAAACUCUGUCUUUGGGGACGAUAAUGACGGUACCCAAGGAGGAAGCCACGGCUAACUACGUGCCAGCAGCCGCGGUAAUACGUAAGUGGCAAGCGUUGUCCGGAUUUACUGGGCGUAAAGGGA